UUAUUGUGAUUCCUGACAAGCAAGAGGAAUGUGACUCCUGGGACUGAAUUUCCCUAGUAAUUCUCGCAGUAAUCAGCAAUAUCACCAACCAGACCGAGGCCGGGACCUAAUCCCUGUCCUCACCAUUCAGGUUUAGGUCCGCUCGAAACCCUGAAAAGAACUGAUACAUUUCAAAAAUUGUUAGGAAUGGAAUUUUAGAUUAGGUGAAUUGGACAACUGGAUCCUUCCAAUUAGAGAGACGCUUUAUCACCAUUACUUAUUUCCUUGGAAGACUCGCUUAUGCAUCCAGCGUUUAAUUUGGGUAGAGCUAUCUUUACAUGCUUUUGAUUUAUUAAUCUACAAAUCUGGACGUCUACUUUAAGAGAAGGUGUCUGGGAACAGAAAGUGGUUACCUCAGUUAACCAAAUAUAAAAGACCAAAUGAAGAACAGAAAUUGACUUGCUGAUAUGUCAGUUCCCUGGGUGUCAAGUUCAGCUGCAUUUAUGAUUUUGUGUUUUCUCUCAUGGUUUGGGUGAGGUUUUUUUCUAAAAUGAUUUUAUUACACAUGAACCAAAUGCUUGCUUAGGAUUUUAUGCCCAAAUAUGUGCUGAUUCUAAGGGAAUCUUUUAUGAGGCAUUUAUUUUCCUUUAAAAGGUAUCAUAUAAGCUGCUGAGUUUUGUUGCGUUAUUUCUUACUAAUUUUUUUUUACCUCCUGCUUUUUGAAACUCCAGCUUUAUAGAAGGAAAGAGUGCUGGAAUGUUAUGCAUGCUUCUUUUGAAGCAGUGUGGCUGCUUUUUAUUGUGGGGCAUGAUAUGAGGUUGAGAAAAUUGAGUGUACCUCUUAAAGCAGAGGCCAGAAUCUGGUAUUCUUUUCUCUACCCAUGCCUUUCUCUCUCUCUGUGCACCUAUACUCCUCCCCAUCUUCCUCAUCUUGCUCAGUUGACAAGGAUUUCUUGAACACCUGCUGUGGGCCAGGCAUUGUUCUAGGUGUGGGAGAGAGGGGAGGCAGCCAAGAUCCCAUCUCCUAUUCUAGUAAAGAGGAACAGAAAAUUAGCAAGAAAAAAAAUAUUUUGUUUGUGGUGUGUGUGUUUGCUUGA
Molecule: long non-coding RNA, 1075 nt
Filed under: Canis lupus familiaris (dog)
Lineage: Eukaryota; Metazoa; Chordata; Mammalia; Carnivora; Canidae
Description: lncRNA (ENSCAFG00030019868.1)
Source: RNAcentral